AGGUCACUGACAUUAGAUACCCCCGUAGUCCCAGCCGUAAACUAUGCUCGCUAGGUGUCAGGCAUGGCGCGACCGUGUCUGGUGCCGCAGGGAAGCCGUGAAGCGAGCCACCUGGGAAGUACGGCCGCAAGGCUGAAACUUAAAGGAAUUGGCGGGGGAGCACAACAACGGGUGGAGCCUGCGGUUUAAUUGGACUCAACGCCGGACAACUCACCGGGGACGACAGCAAUAUGUAGGCCAGGCUGAAGACCUUGCCUGAAUCGCUG
RNAcentral lists this ribosomal RNA (266 nucleotides) under uncultured archaeon. RNAcentral describes it as "partial 16S ribosomal RNA". It matches the Rfam family "Archaeal small subunit ribosomal RNA", at positions 714 to 982 of the family's 1478-position model. The record is from RNAcentral.